This 8443-nucleotide long non-coding RNA is filed under the name Arabidopsis thaliana (thale cress). RNAcentral describes it as "long non-coding RNA (ATHA_LNC000722)". Lineage: Eukaryota; Viridiplantae; Streptophyta; Magnoliopsida; Brassicales; Brassicaceae. The record is from RNAcentral.
ACUCUUUCUAUAUUGACUGUUAGUUUCUGGUCAUUCUCGAAACAAACACUACAUUGACUGUUAGAUUUCUCAUUUCAACCAAAGUAAGUAAUAAAUUCUGAACCUUUAGAAAUAUCAAUUUUAGAACACACACUUGAUGUAUCAUUAAGAGACAAUGAACCAGGCCUCUUUAGAAGAGAUUGAUUGCAGCUCCAAAUACAUUUUCAUCAAAAUAUUAUUUAAGAGAAUUUGUCGGCGAUUGCCAAUAGAUGGUCACUUAGUAGUUGAGGUUUGCAAAACAAUGGCAAAUGAUCCGUCCCUUCCAUCUCUAUCACUAAAUUCGGCGGAUAGUUAUCGAUCAUCCAUCGUUGAUAUUCUUCCGAGAUGGUGUGGUCAUCUUUGCUCACAAUGUAAGCUCGAGGAACAGAUCCAUACCCUUUUUCAGAAAAGUUCUUCAUCCUCGAUAAAUCAUUAAGAAAUAAUGAACCAGGCCUCUUUAGAAGCAAUCUAAGCUCAAGAUCCUAAAUCAAGAUUAACAUAUUCAUGAGUACUAUAUAUAUGUCAUCAUCAUAAUGAUGAUUACUUCCUUUUUUUUUGUUAUAAUGAUGAUUAUAUAUAAAUUACUUCAAUAGGAGAAAGUUGGAGGAUACGGUGCUUCGUGAACUCAGCGCUGAAGACCACAUACGGCUCGAGCUCAGAGCCCAUCCAAUCUUCUGGUGUCAUGGUGCUUGCAAACUUUUACAUUAGGAAAAGAAAAACACAUUCAUACUUAUUUUCCAAGCUCAAUACAGUUAAAUAUACAAGUAGAUAACCAUACGGUAGUAAUCUCCCUAGUGACAACCAUGAAUAUGAAACAUGUCCGAAACACUACAAUUUAAUCUCUAAGAACAAAGUUGAAUCUUAGGAUGAUAUGGUGGUAAAACUCUAAUUACCACUAAAGUGACACUACUUUGACUUUACUAAUUUAGAUGUAACCAAAACUCGUUGUAUACACCACCACAGACGGACUAAUUUAGAUUAUCUAACACAUGACCUAUGAUAAUAGCAUAUACACCACAAAUAUUAAAGGCUACAAAAUAAAAUCUCGAUUUAAUGGAACGAUUGGACUGACUAAUCGGACGUAUAGACCAAAAGGAAUUGUUAUGUUGAUCAAUUUUUGAACAAAAUUUGGUCGCUUAAAAACGAGGUAUACCUUUUCCAGGACGAACGAUGGUGAGUUUUUGGUGUCGGGCAUGAAAGAAGUUACGAAGACAGAGACAGAGAUUUUGUCGGGAAACUUAUCCAUGGCUAUGGCUAAAGUCAAACCUCCAUAGCUAUGACCCACGAGCACAACCUUCUCAUCAUUCGGCAAUGAAGUCAUUAGCUGAAUCAACGGCUCAGAAUAUUGUUCGCAUGUGGAAAUGUCAGUGAUCGACCUUGUGUCUAUACCACAAGCAGCUAGGUCUAAGGCGGUUACACGAUGGCCCGAAGCCUCGAGCAGCGGCUUCACCUUGUACCAGCACCACGCGCCGAGGCACGAACCAUGUACUAGCACGAAAUGUUGCUUCAUCAUCUCCUCACUCUUCACACAUCCACAUAUAAGUAAAGAGAUUAUAAAGCUUAUCCCGUUUUCAUACAUUUUUCUUACUCUUCUGAUUUAGAUUAUCAAACACGUAUCCAAACAAUUAAGCCACGUGGUCAUUGUCCGACUCUACAAUCUCUCUCCGUUUCUUCUCUCAUUCCUUUAUAACAAAAAAGACAGAGCACAAUGACUAGAUUUACGGUAGUAACACGUAAAAUAGUAUUAUUUACAUUUAAGUUUAUCUUUAUUGAGGAAAUUAGGUUCAGUCUUUUUCUUAUAUAUAUCGGUGUAUUAUGUGAUAUUAAUUAUACGAGAGUCUAUUAUAAUAUUUUUCAAACACUUUGUGUUUCAUACUAUUAUCAAUUUAUCAUAUUCCCUUUUCUUAUUUUUUUCCUACUCUUCAUCAUCCACACAUAACACAUAAAUGUUUACAUUGAGUAAAUUAGGUUUAGUCUUUUUCUUUAUAUAUAUCGAUGUAUUAUGUGACAUUAAUCUUACGAGAGUCUAUUAUAAUUCUUCCUAAACACUUUUGUAUUUUUUACUCUUAUCAAUCUAUCAUAUUCCUUUCUCUUACUUUUUUCUACUCUUCAUCAACUACAUAUAUCUUCUUAUAUAAUAAGAGAAGGUUUUUUCUAACUUUGCCUACCAAUACGACAUUUGGCACUCUAUUUUGAUGACAUGUGUACUUAUCAUUAAUUGUAGUUUGACUAAAAUAAUUUAUUAAUAAAUAUAACAUUUAUUUAGAAAAUAGUCAUUAAACUAUAAAAAUACUACAUAUUAAACUACAAUUUUGAAAUGAUUUUUUUUCUAUCAUAAUUGCAACUCUCUUAACUAAUUACAAAAUCAAAUCUUUUAAAUUUUGACAUGAUAUUAUGUUUUAGACUGCACAUUAAUAGUUCACAACUACAAAUAAUUCUCCAAUUUUAUAAGAUUUUUUUCCAUUUUUAGUUCUUUUAAACAAUAAUUAAUUAAAAUAAUUUUGUUUCGAUCUUAUAUGAUUAAUUUUUUUUAAAAGCUGUUAAAAUUUGAUAUCUUACAUUUGCUCAUAUUUUAACAGUUUUUCUUUUUAUAUGUUAUUUAUGCAUGUAUAUAUUAAUAAACAUAUCAUAUCUUAUUUUUACAAAAUAAAUGUAUGAUAAAGUAAAUUAAAAAAUAAUUUGUUGAUAUAAACUCAUACAUAAUAGUUCCAAAACAUUUUAUUUUGUAAGUGAUUUAUUCAAAACAAUGAUAAAAGAAUAGUAAUUAUAGUAUAUAUUUUAUGAUGUAUCACUUAUCAAUAUUUAAAUACUACAUAUGCUUUUAAAAAUAUGAUUUAAUAAAAAAUAAAUGAGUAGAUGUAAAGCUCACCUGAUUAAAAAAGACUCAAAUGACCAUAGUUUUGAUAACGGUUAAAAACAACGAGAGAAAGAAAAUUAGGAUUAAACACCAUGCAGUUAAACCUCAUUAAGGUCAUUAGUGGCUCAAUGAGAUUGAAUACUCAGUGUCUCAUGUAAUGUUUUAAAAAAAAAGAAAUUAUUAGUUUGUUACUCAUGUAACGUUCAUGUUAUAAACGUUCUUCUAUAAUUAUUAACCUUUAUUAGUUAUACCCUAACAAUCUACUUUUCUAAUAUAAAUAGCAAAUAUUUACACAGACACAACACACACAUAUUUACAAGUGCUUUUGUUUCCUUUGACAAUUGAAGUUAUUCAAUUACUGAAAGAAAAAUGAAAGAUGGUUUGCUGUAUCACCAACAUUUACGGUAUCACCAACGUUUACGGCAAGAGUCCUAACCUUAUCAAUUUGUCUCUUUCAUUUAACGUUUGGACUCAUAUUACCUUUCAGUUUUUUUUUAUCUUUUUCUUUUAGUUUUUGUGAAUGAUUUCAUAUUGUUUAAUGUUUCUAAAAUGGUUAUAUUGAGUCUUACUUACAUGUUUUUGUUUUGUUCUAAAUGUAAAUCGAGAAAUUUUUUUUUUUUUUUUUUUUUGGAAGUAGACAUCAAAUGCACUUUAAACCAUAAAUGAAUAUGAAAGAGGAAGCAAAACAGGCAAGAGUCUCAACCUUAUCAAUUUGUCUCCUUCAUUUAAAGUUUGGAUUCAUAAUAGCUUUCAGAUUUUGUUUUUCUUUGUAAGUUUUUGUAAAUGAUUUUACAUUGUUUAAAGUUUCUAAAUUAGUUAUAUUGAGUCUUACUUAUAUAUUUUUGUUAGUUUUUUUUUUGUAGGCAUCAAAUGCACUUUAAACCAUUUAAAUGGAUAUGAAAGAAAAAGUUAGCAUACUAUGGAUAGUAGAGUCAAUUACAAGAGAAAGAAAGAAUCAAAGUUUUGAUCAUUCAUAAAAUACAAAAAUUCAGGCAAGUGUUUUAGUUAGUCUCAAAAAAUGAUGGAGCGAUAAUAACAGGUAUGACCACAAUAAUUAUAUAACUAUUUAUUUGUCUUUCCAAAUUAAAUAUUUUGAAUUAAUUUUUGCUAUAAAUAGUUACCAAAUUUUGUUGACUUAUAUGCUCUCUAAAACAAAACUUAAAUUGUUUUCUGAUUUUUAAUAUAAUGAAGCUCAAUUCUUAGUUUCUGAAGAAAACAUGAUCAACAUUAGUUCACUCAUACAAAUUACAAAAAUCUAUGUCUAUAAUACACAUUAGAAAAUUAUAUUGAAGCAAAAAAAAAAUAGAUUCUUUUAUAGGAGUGACAUAUUGAAAUGAUUUAAGAUUUAUCUUCUCCAAGUUUAUAUUUUCUUAAAUUGUUUUAAAAAUUUAUUUAAACAAAAAAAAAUAACAGUGUAAGGUUCAUAAUCUAAAAUUAAAAUUUAGAAUUUAGCUUUUACAAUAAUAUUUUUUAAACUCAUAACAACAACAAAGAAAAAACUUAAAACAAAACAAAACAAUAUUUGAGAUACUGUGAAAGGGGAUUAGGAAAUGAGAGAAUGAAAAUAAAUUGUGGGAGUUAAUUUUUAAUUUAUUGUGUGUUGAAAAAAAUGGUGUGGAGAAAUAUAAUUAAUUUAUAUAUAUUUAUGAUUUCAGUUUUGUAAAUAAAUUGUGGGAGUUAAUUUUUAAUUUAUUGUGUGUUGAAUAAAAUGGUGUGGAGAAAUAUAAUUAAUUUAUAUAUAUUUAUGAUUUCAGUUUUGUAAAUAAAUUGUGGGAGUUAAUUUUUAAUUUAUUGUGUGUUGAAUAAAGUAGAGUGGAUGAAUAUAAUUGAUACAUAUUUUUAUGAUUUCAGUUUUAUAUUAAACUGUGUGUUAAAUAUGUUAUUUAUUAUUUAUUAAGAAUUAAAAAAAAAACUUAUAUUGCCAAGUGGACCAAUAAGGAAAGAGUGAAACCUUACUUUUAUAUAUACAUGAUUCCUAAUUUUUUGGUUUCAUUUUUAAAGGUUACCUAAAGUAUAGCUAUUAUUGUUGCCAUUACAUCACAUAUAAAUAAUAACAAUUGUUAUAUAAUCUUAAAUUAAUUAUAUAUAUAAAUUAUGGUUUCAAUUUAUCAAAGGUUAUAACAUUUAACUUAGAGACAUAUUUUUCCAUCAUUUGAAGUUAAAAAUAAAUAACUCUAUAUUUGUGCGAUAACAAUUGGUAAACAUCAAAAUUGAAAAUUUAAAUUAUUUUUGAGCCAUAUAUUAACAAUUUUUUAAUAAAUUAUAUAUAGAAAUUAACGUCUUUCAAUACAUUUAACAAAUUUUAUAUGACUUAUUUUUUUUGAACUGACAUCUGAGAUCUUUAGUCGAGUUGGAGGGUUUUUCAUUGAAAGUUAUCUUAAAUCAUAAGCUUUAAAUUUUUAAAUGUGUAAAAGGUUCAUCUAUUGUUUUGAAUUGCAAAACAAUUGGUAAUACAUGCAUUUGCAUUUUCACCAAAAAAAAAACUGAAUAAUUUAUGUUUAUUUUUUAAUAUAUAGUAAAACAUACUGUUUUCACAAAAAAAUAUAAAAACAAAUUGAAUGCAAACUUUUAAUCAACUAAAAUGUCUUUGUAAAAAACAUCAUAAUUUGUAAACAUAAAAGUUACUAUUAUUAAUUAUUUUGAUCGAUAUAUUAACAAUUAUAAAUAAGUUUUAUAUAUAAUUUAAUAUAAAUAUUAUUCUAUAUUCAAAACUAAAACCGUAUAUAAAAUCCACGCAUCGCGUGGACAACUUCUAGUAACAUAUAAAUAAAGAGAUUAUAAAGUUUAUCUCCUUUUCAUAUUUUUUUCCUACUCUUCAUCAUCUACACAUAACACAUAAAUAAAGAGAUUAUAAAGUUUAUCUCCUUUUCGUACUUUUUUUCCUACUCUUCAUCACAGAUCCACACAUAACACAUAAGUAAAGAGAUUAUAAAGCUUAUUCUUUUUCGUACUUUUUUCCCUAAUCUGCACACAUCCACACAUGACACAUAAAUAAAGAGAUUAUAAGUCUAAGACCAUGUACAUAGGUGAUAUAUUUAGAGUAUCAAGAGCAAUAAAUAAUUUUUUAAUAGAUUAAAUAAUACAUUUAGCUCUGAUCCAGUAUCAUUGCAGUGAUUCUUUGGAUACCCACUAUCAGGUGAUGUGGAGGCUCAUAAUUCGUCGAAAUUUCCUGAAAGCAAAAAAAAUAAAAAAAUAAAUCAUUCUACUUUUCGAUAGUCUUCUACUGUUUUAGCUAACUAAUUAUAUUUUUUGCGAAUGAGUAAUUUUGCAGGCUCUUCGUGAUUAUGCGACAUAAUUUUGCAGUAAUUUUGUAAUGUUAUGUUUUAUAUAUUUAUUUUUCGAUUUUGCAAAUAAUUUUUUUUUUAAUAAUACCAAUAUCGGUCUUACCGCUAGAAACAGAUUUAUUACCAGUAUCAUAAAAAAUCGCAGACAAUAAAUAAACAUUAAAAUUAAUACUAAAAAUUGAUAAUGAUACUCAUAGAGUAUCAACUAUGUGCAUGUUCUAUAGUCCCUUUCGGUACCUAUUUUCUAUUCUUCACACAUCCACCGAUCCACGCAUAACACAUAAGUAAAGAGAUUAUAAAGCUUAUUGUUGUAUCCGACUUUUAUGGUGAUACAACUUGUGUUAGAUAUCAGAAUCAUUCGUAGUAAAAUGAGUUUUUUUGUCUCGGUCAUGAGAGCUGUCAAGAAACCAAUAGCAGCAAUCUUACAAAGGAAUAUGUUAGUAGCGAGAACAGCGGAUAUUCCUCCCAUGCUAUGAGCAAUAAGAGUACCUUAUCGUUUAUCCGAGCAAAGAUGAAGAUGAAAUUAUUUCGGUAUUAUGUACUAGUCGUCGAAAUAGUACAAGAUAAGUGAUUCUGGAAGCUGAGAUGCAUAACUGAUGAUGAGGAGCUCGAAUACUUUGAUUUAAGAGCGUGUGUUAAGUCAAAAAAAAAAUAUUAUUGUCUGAAAACAAAAUGAAUCUUAUAAGCUAUAUGGAAGUUUGCACGAAGAGAAAAGAAAAUUGGCAAAAAGAAAACUUUUUUUCUUAUGGAAUGUGUUAAAUAUGUCUUAUGUGUGAUUGGAGUGUAAGUUUAUGUUUGUUAUAUAAGGGGGACGUGACCUUAUGAGAAUGUGGAUUUGAGGAGGAUAAAUAUCCCAAAGAGAUUCGACAUGAGAGAUUGUGUGUGAUAGUGUGUGACAUAGUUUCGGUGUUUGGUGCUUGUGUGAUUAAGCUGAUUUAUGUGUUGGUGUUGACGUAAGUAUUGGGGCGUUUUGGUGAUCGUUGGGUUUGUUGGUGUGAAGUUCGUGUGUGGCGGUUGCUCCAAGACAUGGAGAAGUGAAGUCUAGGCUCAUGGGGAAUUUAGCUCAAGGUGAGGUUAUCUUUAUGAAAUCUAGGUUUAGUACAGGUAGAGAUUUAUCAUUAAGGUUUCAUGUUAUUGAACGGAGCAGUGAAUCAAGAGGUUUGUUUGAUUUACGCAUUUGCGAAUAGGUUGUAUUUGCUUUCUUGUUCUAGUAAAAUCUGGAUAUGGUCCCGUGGACUAGAAAAAACCAGGCUUCGUGAACAAAUUUCUUGUCUCGUUUACUUUAUACUCUUUAUUAUUACAUCAUCCGCACUUACACAAAAGAGCUCAGAAACUUAAGCAAAGGUUAGCAGUAAUCUUUAAGAGUCUGAAUCUCUUCAACUCUAGUCAUAUUUAUACCUGAUGCAGCUAGAUCCACCGCGGUCACACAGUGACCUAUAGCCUCCAAAUGCAUCUUCACAUUGUACCAACACCACUCCCCGUGGCACAGCCCAUGUACGAGCACAAACCGUUCCUUGUUAUUUUUCUCCAUUGUUUUCUUUCUUCUUUGCUUUCAACAUCUUAGUUCAACGUAAAGUUAUAUAUCUCGAGGAUUACUUUCCCCCACACUCUUUGUAUAUUGACUGUUUCUAGUCCUUCUAAACAAACACUAGAUUGACUUAGGUUUCUCAUUUCAACCAUAGUAAGAACUAAGAAAUAAGUUUGAACCUUUAUGAAGAUCCAUUUUAGAACACGUUUGAUUGUAUCCACUCCAAAUACAUUUUCAUCAAAAUAUUAUUUAACAGAAAUUGUCAGCGAUUGCCAAUAGAUGGUCACUUAGUAGUUGAGGUUUGCAAAACAUUGGCAUAUGAUCAGUCUCUUCCAUCUCAAUCACUAAAUUCGCCGGAUAAUUAUGGAUCAUCCAUCGUUGAUGGUCUUCCGAGAUAAUGUUGUCCUCUUUGCACACAAUGUAAGCUCGAGGAACAGAUCCAUACCCUUUCUCAGAAAAGUUCUCCAUCUUCGAUAAUUCAUUAAUAAACAAUGAACUAGGCCUCUUUAGAAGCAAUCCAAGCUCAAGAUCCUAAAUAAAGAUAAUCAUCGAUUUAUCAUGAAAAUGAUUAGUCUUUUUUUGUUUUGUUAAAAAUGAUGAUAAAUUUAAAUUACCUCCACAGGAGAAAGUUGGUAGAGACGGUGCUUCAUGAAGUCGGUGCUGAAGAACACAGACAAGCCGGAAUUAUCUGAACCAUAUGUCUCGAGCUCAGAGCCCAUCCAUCCUUCUGGUGUCAUGCUGCUUGCAAACUUUUUC